Long non-coding RNA from Peromyscus californicus insignis, 2724 nucleotides. RefSeq lists it as uncharacterized. The transcript is spliced from 2 exons. The record is from RefSeq and is a predicted model, not a curated record. Lineage: Eukaryota; Metazoa; Chordata; Mammalia; Rodentia; Cricetidae.
CCCCCCCCCCCUCUCUCUCUCUCUGUGUGUGUGUAUGUGCGGUCUCAGUUACAAACCCCCAACCACUGUCUGGAAACAUUCGAUCUUUCCAGAAAGAAACAAUUUAUAAAUUUUAAAUAACUUUAAAUACAGUAUAUUAUUAGAGUAAUCCUACUUUAUUGUUAAAAAGCCUUACUCUUGAGCCGGGCAGUGUUGGCGCACGCCUUUAAUCCCAGCACUCAGGAGGCAGAGGCAGGCGGAUCUCUGUGAGUUCCAGGACAGCCUGGUCUACAGAGUGAGUUCCAGGACAGCCAGAACUACACAGAGAAACCCUGUCUCAAAAAACAAAACCAACCAAACAAAAAUCCUAACUCUUGAACUGUGCCUAAUUUAUGAAUUAAACUUUAUCACAGAGAAAUGUAUAAAGAAACUGGGCAGUAGUGGAACAUGCCUUUAGUCCCAUCACUGGGGAAACAGAGGCAGGGGAAUCACUGAGUUCCAGGCCAACCUGGUCUACAGAGUGAGUUCCAGGACAGACAUAGCUACAUGGAGAAACUUUGUUUCAACAAAACAAACAGACAAUAUAUAUACUGUAGCUGGGUUUUUGUCUGACCCCCAGGCUGCUGCACUGGAGGCUGCUACACUGAAUGGGGUGGCUGUACUGAGAUCAGUAGCACUGGGAGCUACUUCACAGGAGGAAAACUGUUGCACUGGAGGCUGCACUUUCCUGUGGAAUCUGCUGAACAUCUGGCAGACAUCAUCCCGGCUUCCCUACGUGAACCUGUGAAUCUGCUCGCACGUAUUCUAAAAUCCCAUCCCUCCUGAGGCCUCCAAGGGGCUGAGCUGGGAUCUCAAGUCUCUGCCAAGGUGGGACGGAUAUGGUAAACCAGGAUCACAACAUCCCAGCUUCCACAGAAGAACCCAAGAAUGCUGCUUCACUGAGACUCACAAUGAUGGUCCACCCAGCCUAAAAGGAAGCUCUGGUCUUGAGUGGAGAAUAGGACUGAAUGAAUGCUGAGUGGGGCGUGGCGGGCAAGUGUGGGCUGGUGAUGGAGUGUGAGAUAAUAGAAACAGCAGAGAGGCUUACAUCCCAGUGCUUAGGAGCCUGAGGGUCAGGAGUUCAAAGCCAGCCUGGACUACACAGUGAAACACUGCCCCUUCUCAAAAAAAUAAAAUAAGUAAGUAAAUAAAUAGGAAGAAAGCAAAGAAAAGAGGCCAGCCUGCUGGAGGACCCAUCCAUUCCAAACGGAACUGAACCUCAUUGAAAUAGGCACAGUGGGUGGAGAGAGCCUCUGAGGCUACUCUGAAAUUCCAGCUCCUGGGGGUGGGCACAGCUUUCUUCUGGGCUCCACAGACUCCAGCCUGCACACACACACACACACACACACACACACACACACACACACACACACACAUACACACAUAAAAAUAAAUUGUUAAGACACAGGCAGUCAGCCGGCGGGGGUGGCGCACGCCUUAAUCCCAGUACUCAGGAGGUAGAGCCAGGCAGAUCUCUGUGAGUUCAAGGCCAGCCUGGACUACAGAGUGAGAUCCAGGACAGGCACCAAAACUACAUAGAGAAACUCUGUCUCAAAAAAAAAAUCAUCUUAUUUAAAAAUAAAACUUCACCGGUCAACUGUAUGGCUUUUGCUAGUCUUGGUGGCUUGUGUUUGUAAUCCUCACACUUGGGGGAUAAAGACAGGAGGUUCAAGGGUUCAAAGCUGGAGCUGGAGGGAUAGCUCAGUAAAGGCAUCUGCUGAUAACCUGAAUUUUAUCCCCGCGACCCACUCCUGGAAGUUGUCCUCUGACCUCCACACAGGCGUGUGUGCUUACACAAAUCAGAUAUUAAAAAAGAAAAGCUGGGCAGUGGUGGCACACACCUUUAAUCUCAGCACUUGGGAGGCAGACGCAGGCAGGUCUCUGAGUUCAGGGCCAGCCUGGUCUACAGAGCCUGGUCUUUCAGGGCUUACAGGGCUACACAGAGAAAUCCUGUCUCAAAAGGUCCUGUGUUAUGAGAUUCUGUCUCAAAACUAUUUAUUUCUUUAGACCUGGCAUGGUGGCACACACCUUUAACCCCAGCACUCAGGAGGCAGAGGCAGGUGGAUCUCCAUAUGUCUGAGUUCUACAUAGUGAGUUCCAGGCUAGCCAGCGUAAUGGGUCUCUCUUUGGACUGUCAACUGCAGAAUAAUGACAUGGAGACUUCUUAUUAAUUAUGAAAGCUUGGCCUUAGCUUAGGCUCAUUCCCAACUAGCUCCUAAAACUUAAAUUAAUCUGUUUAUAUUAAUCUACAUUCUGUCACGUGGCUCGUUACCUCUCCUCAGUACUAUAUAUUCAACUUCCUCUGAGUCUAGCUGGUGAAUCUCAGAUUCUUUCCCAGAGUUCCUAUCUCUCCAGGAAGUCCCGCCUAUCCUCUCCUGCCUAGCUAUUGGCUGUUCAGCUCUUUAUUAAACCAAUCUGAUGAGGCAGGUGAGGAAGGACAGAGGCACUACUUCCCACAGUGUCCAAAAAGAUUAUCCCCAAAACAAGCCAAGGAUACAUAACAAGACCCUGAUUCAAAAAGGCUUUGGGUUGUUAUAUGGCUCAAGGGGAGAGGUGCUUGCCACCAAGCCUGAGGACCUGAGUUCUAGUACCAGGUCUUACCUGGUAAAAGGAGAGAGCCAACUCCCAAGCAUUAUCUACUGCUUGUCGUACACUUGGUGACAUAUCCCUCCCUGCCAAAUGAAUAAACAGAUAAAUUAAAAACGC